GAGGGUAUAGCUCAAGAGGUAGAGCCCAUGCUUAACAUGCACGAGGUGCUGGGUUCAAUCCCCAGUGCCUCCU
This is a transfer RNA of Camelus ferus (Wild Bactrian camel), 73 nucleotides long. It matches the Rfam family "tRNA". Rfam says of the family: Transfer RNA (tRNA) molecules are approximately 80 nucleotides in length. Their secondary structure includes four short double-helical elements and three loops (D, anti-codon, and T loops). The record is from Rfam. Lineage: Eukaryota; Metazoa; Chordata; Mammalia; Artiodactyla; Camelidae.